Molecule: ribosomal RNA, 441 nt
Filed under: uncultured bacterium
Lineage: Bacteria
Description: partial 16S ribosomal RNA
Rfam family: Bacterial small subunit ribosomal RNA
Source: RNAcentral
UCUACGGGAGGCAGCAGUGGGGAAUAUUGCACAAUGGGGGAAACCCUGAUGCAGCAACGCCGCGUGAAGGAAGACGGUUUUCGGAUUGUAAACUUCUGUUCUUAGUGAAGAAUAAUGACGGUAGCUAAGGAGCAAGCCACGGCUAACUACGUGCCAGCAGCCGCGGUAAUACGUAGGUGGCAAGCGUUGUCCGGAAUUACUGGGUGUAAAGGGAGCGCAGGCGGGAAGCCAAGUCAGCUGUGAAAACUACGGGCUCAACCUGUGGCCUGCAUUUGAAACUGUAGUUCUUGAGUACUGGAGAGGCAGACGGAAUUCCUAGUGUAGCGGUGAAAUGCGUAGAUAUUAGGAGGAACACCAGUGGCGAAGGCGGUCUGCUGGACAGCAACUGACGCUGAGGCGCGAAAGCGUGGGGAGCAAACAGGAUUAGAUACCCUUGUAGUC